AUGGAAGCACUUCAAAAUCCCCUGCCCCACUCCCGAAAUCAAAGCCCUGGCGCAGUGAAAGUACCAGGAAAUAGCCUAGCCUCCCGCCCACCCCGCCCCCUUAACCGUGCCCGAUGGCUGCUGCCCAGUAGCCCGUGCUUUCCAAGACUGGCGAGGACGCUGCUGCUGCUGGUUACUCCAGGAGAUCCAACGUCCAGGCUAGGGGUCAGAUCGCGAGACACUGAGCCCUUGUGGUUGGUGUGUGACCACAGUGGAAGUGACCCCAGUUGACUUCUAAAGCUAGUUCAUAAAAAACUAUGAAGCUUCCUCCUGGUUCUUGUGGGCCAUUCACCUUUGGAGCCCUUAACCACAGUGGAGGAAAUGAGAGGCCUCUAUGCUAUGAUGAGACCCAGGCAAUGAUUACCAGAAAGGUGAGUGAAAUAUGCUCCUAAGUGAUUCUGGUGCCCAGUUUCUGGUGCUCAAGCCUU
RNAcentral lists this long non-coding RNA (467 nucleotides) under Cavia porcellus (domestic guinea pig). RNAcentral describes it as "lncRNA (ENSCPOG00000035037.1)". Lineage: Eukaryota; Metazoa; Chordata; Mammalia; Rodentia; Caviidae. The record is from RNAcentral.